Molecule: long non-coding RNA, 594 nt
Organism: Mandrillus leucophaeus (drill)
Lineage: Eukaryota; Metazoa; Chordata; Mammalia; Primates; Cercopithecidae
Exons: 3
Source: RefSeq, a predicted model, not a curated record
UUCAGUAUGGAAGACAAUGACCUGCCACUUUUAAUUUUUUCCCGUUUUGCUCUUCUACCAAAUACCGCUUUUAACACAGGCUUUUCACUGAGUAGUGGACAAUCUAUCAAAUAGGUGCUGUUCGGUGUGAGGGGCAUUUGCAAAGGUCUGCGUCAGUGCUGGCUGAUGGAACUUUCCGGUGAUAGCAUCGUUCCAUAGCUGCACUGUCCAGUGCGGAGGCUACUUGCCACUGUGUCUACUGCUCCGGACGGUGCAGGUCUGAAUAUCUCACACACAGCGGCCGCCGUGUCUACUGCUCCGGACGGGUCUGAGCAUCUCACACACAGCGGCCGCCGUGUCUACUGCACGGGACGGUGCAGGUCUGAGCAUCUCACACACAGCGGCCGCUGUGUCUACUGCUCGGGACGGGGCAGAUCUGAGCAUCUCACACACAGCGGCCGCUGUGUCUACUGCACGGGAUGGUGCGGGUCUGAAUAUCUUAAACACAGCUCACCUUUUUGGUGCCUUUGAUCCGUGUUAGCAAUUACCCACAUCUUCUCUCUGGGCAAUAUUCUACUUUCAUUUUAUAUUGACCCAAUUAUUUUACCUCUUUGG